CGGGACGUAGCGCAGCCCGGUAGCGCACCUGAAUGGGGUUCAGGGGGUCGCGGGUUCGAAUCCCGCCGUCCCGACUA
Molecule: transfer RNA, 77 nt
Filed under: Gemmatimonadota bacterium
Lineage: Bacteria; Pseudomonadati; Gemmatimonadota
Description: Gemmatimonadetes bacterium (freshwater metagenome) tRNA-Pro
Rfam family: tRNA
About the family: Transfer RNA (tRNA) molecules are approximately 80 nucleotides in length.
Source: RNAcentral